UUAAGAACUCCUUCAUUUUCCUUCAAGAAUUAGCUUAAAGCUACACCUGAUUGGGUAGCUUGGGUAGACCAAAUGGAACCUAUUAAAGGAAAUUCAUAGAAGAAACUAGGGAUUUAUGAUGCAAUCAUGUUCAGCAAAAAAUCAAUUUGUUUAGGUAAACCUCUUGUAUUUUCAACCUUAAUGUUUUGGUUUGUUUUGACCAAUUCAUUCCACUUCAACUGUGGCAUGAUGGCCCCAACCAUACAAGAUGGUUGUUUUCUCACUGGCCUUCUACCCAAUGGAGAAGAAGUUAGUGGAAUUUUGGUCUCUAGAAGAAAAUACACAUACGUGCCUAAGCCCGAAGUACCCAAGCGUAAGACAAAAGCCAAAACCCAAAUCAUCACCUUCAUCUAAAAAGAAAAACAAACACCUUUCUGCUUCUGGCCCCUUUGUAUCUUACUGGAUGAAAAUAGGAGAAGUUGAGUAUGCUGAAUAUGUUUCUUUUCUAAUUUAUUAGCUCAGUAAAUUCGUAUUUUGUGUAUCCUCAUUGAGUAUUACCAAGGAUUUCACAGAAAUUGCUCUAGCUCUUGUUGAUGAAAGAAAACUUGUCUUAGCUCCAUUAGUCCUUUCUCAUCUUUACAGAGGGAUUUAUGAAUUUGUUCGUACUAAAUUUACCUCUGUUGGUGGACCUUUCUGGUUGUUGCAGUUCUGGUUACAAGCUUACUUUCAUGAGUUAGGGCCUCAAAUUAACCAUUUAGAGCUCCAUCGAGUGCAUGGUUAUUAUUACUUGGAAGCCACUCCCACGGACCAAACCUUUGACCAUUGUUUCAGUGUUUUCUAUAAUCAUAUGUCAACUUGGUCGCCCCAAAACAUCACACCCUUUAACCCGAGGAAAAUAGGACCAGAAUGGUUAUUGUUAGAACCUGGAAAAGCAACAUCUGAACAAGAAAAUGAAUAAGAUGCCAUUUGGGGCUGCUUUUUAAUUGCCAGAAAUCUUCAUUUUUCUCCUGCCCCUCUUUCAUCAACAACCCAUAAGUGUGGAACAGAGUAUUACAAUGCAUCCUAGUUUGCGAGGCAAUUUGGUCUUCAACAACAUAUCCCAUUACCUCCAAUUACAUCAAGCAACGUAUGCUUCAAUAAUAGAUAUUUUUUCAAGCAAAGGGAAAAUGUUGAAAAAGUAACCGAAUACUUUGAGUCGACCAAAACAGAUUUGAAACUAAUCCAUUUCAGCAACAAGCCAUCUGCUACACCUUCAUUUAAUAGUUAGUGGUCAGAUCAUGUCAAUAAAACUCGUACCAAACCUUUGGUUGAAAUUCUUGACCGGUUGAAAAAAUAUUUUGAAGCAAGUUUGAAUGAUAAUCGAAGGAAUAAAAGGCUUCUUAAAAAAUCAACUCAAUCAAAGGCUAUCUUAAGUGUUCAAACAAGCCAGUUACCAAGCCCUACAUCAACUUCUCAAUCAACGACUUCAGCACAAGGGAAAAAACUGAAACCCACAAAAGCUACUGGAAUAGAAGAUCAAAUUCCAGUUCAGGAAAAAAUUUCCAAAACUGUUUGGAAAAAAGGUCAUUUUGAAGAUGCAAUAAAAAAGAACCAAGGUGAACAGUGUGGUUAAGAGGAAGGAAAAGAGGUGCACAAACCAGCCAAAAGGGCUAAGAGAAAACUUGUACAAACCAAAUCCAUUGGAACUAGAAAUGCAGUAAAAAAGAAAUUAGUGUCAGAAGAAGAAAUUGAGAAAAACAAAGAAGAAGUUCAAGAGAAAGAAACUGAAGAAGUUGAUUUGGAAAAAAUGAAUACUGAAGAGGCUUCCACCAAAAAAAAAAUCAAUUCUGAUGAAGCAAAAACCUUGGAAAAUCUAAAAUUUUCUCUUCGAGAAGAAGCUGAAGUACAAGGAACUUGCUAAGAAACUAAAAUCUUGAUUAAAAAAAAUGAAGGAAGUGCCAUCGAUUCAUCUCCAGCAUUCAUCACCGAAACAGAUGAAUAUAUUUCCAAUUUAAUACUUUCAGUAGAAACCAAAACUCUUUAAGAUUCAGAGUCUACUGACUCUAUCACAACUUCUAUUUCAAAGAAUUUCAUUGGUGAAGCCAAAAAAAUUGUAAAGACUAUACUCUCUGGCACCUUUGAAGAUUUGAUGAAUGAUUUUGAUCGGUU
Cornus florida is the source of this 2127-nucleotide long non-coding RNA. RefSeq lists it as uncharacterized. The record is from RefSeq and is a predicted model, not a curated record. Lineage: Eukaryota; Viridiplantae; Streptophyta; Magnoliopsida; Cornales; Cornaceae. The transcript has 5 exons.